GACGAACGCUGGCGGCGUGCUUAACACAUGCAAGUCGAGCGGUAAGGCCCUUUCGGGGGUACACGAGCGGCGGAACGGGUGAGUAACACGUGGGUGACCUGCCCUCAGCUCUGGGACUAAAGCCGUGGGGAAAACCGGGUCUAAAGUACUGGAUAUGACUCCAUGACGCAUGUUGUGGGGUGGAAAGCCUUGUGCGGCUGAGGAGUGGGGCCCGCGGCCUAUCAGCUUGUUGGUGGGGUGANGGCCUACCAAGGCGACGACGGGUA
Molecule: ribosomal RNA, 266 nt
Filed under: uncultured bacterium
Lineage: Bacteria
Description: partial 16S ribosomal RNA
Rfam family: Bacterial small subunit ribosomal RNA
Source: RNAcentral